This is a long non-coding RNA of Acanthaster planci (crown-of-thorns starfish), 370 nucleotides long. Lineage: Eukaryota; Metazoa; Echinodermata; Asteroidea; Valvatida; Acanthasteridae. The record is from RefSeq and is a predicted model, not a curated record.
GUGCAAACCAGCUAGCUGAGCAGAGGCACAGUGAGUGGACCAAGCGUGUUGUCAGGCCACGAAAUUAAGCUUUUGGUUUUGUAUCCCAAGAACUGAUGAAGCAAGUCUGAAGUUCGUCAUCCACUGUGUUCCCACAGACUGCAGAGCUUGGCGGAUGACCAAAACCAACCUCGCAGUUCAGAAGACCAGUUGUCCAAAGCAAAAAAGUUCUAUGCUGCCAGCCCCAGUGCCAAGCUGACCAGUUGUGGACUACACUACAUCAUGAUGUACCUUUGUACUAAUCUCUACCCCUCAACAUGUCUCGCUUGGGAGGGUCUGCUAGGAGUAUCCAUCUGGAGCAGAAGCUCCCCGCAUCAGUUGGAAAGACCCA